GAGUUUGAUCCUGGCUCAGAUUGAACGCUGGCGGCAUGCUUUACACAUGCAAGUCGAACGGUAACGCGGGGGCAACCCUGGCGACGAGUGGCGAACGGGUGAGUAAUACAUCGGAACGUGUCCUGGAGUGGGGGAUAGCUCGGCGAAAGCCGGAUUAAUACCGCAUACGCUCUGAGGAGGAAAGCGGGGGACCUUCGGGCCUCGCGCUGCGGGAGCGGCCGAUGUCGGAUUAGCUAGUUGGUGGGGUAAAGGCCUACCAAGGCGACGAUCCGUAGCUGGUCUGAGAGGAUGAUCAGCCACACUGGGACUGAGACACGGCCCAGACUCCUACGGGAGGCAGCAGUGGGGAAUUUUGGACAAUGGGGGCAACCCUGAUCCAGCCAUGCCGCGUGAGUGAAGAAGGCC
RNAcentral lists this ribosomal RNA (405 nucleotides) under uncultured beta proteobacterium. Its description in RNAcentral is "bacterial SSU rRNA". It matches the Rfam family "Bacterial small subunit ribosomal RNA", at positions 9 to 416 of the family's 1533-position model. The record is from RNAcentral. Lineage: Bacteria; Pseudomonadati; Pseudomonadota; Betaproteobacteria.